This 274-nucleotide long non-coding RNA is filed under the name Lathyrus oleraceus (garden pea). RNAcentral describes it as "Pisum sativum (pea) long non-coding RNA (PSAT_LNC019920)". Lineage: Eukaryota; Viridiplantae; Streptophyta; Magnoliopsida; Fabales; Fabaceae. The record is from RNAcentral.
CAGAAACUUGUUACUUAAGUUCUGAUCUGAAAAACUUCAAGAGCUUCUGAUGUUCCUGAAAGACAAUGAGCAAACUAUUUUUCGAAAUAGUUGUUAGCAGAAACAUUAAAGAAUAUUUGGGUUCUGAUUCAUGAAUAUAGGAAUAUCAAAAUCAAUUAUGUUUCUCUCAUUUCUCCCAAAUUACGUUUCUCCCCCUUUGUCAUCGAUCAAAAAGACAUGGACAAAAUAAAAUGAGAAAACAAUAACAUUUCAUUGAUAAUGCCAGAAGUACAAA